GAACGCGAAGAACCUUACCAAGUCUUGACAUCCUUUGACCACUCUAGAGAUAGAGCUUUCCCUUCGGGGACAAAGUGACAGGUGGUGCAUGGUUGUCGUCAGCUCGUGUCGUGAGAUGUUGGGUUAAGUCCCGCAACGAGCGCAACCCUUGUCAUUAGUUGCCAUCAUUCAGUUGGGCACUCUAAUGAGACUGCCGGUGACAAGCCGGAGGAAGGUGGGGAUGACGUCAAAUCAGCACGGCCCUUACGUCCGGGGCUACACACGUGUUACAAUGGGGGGUACAGAAGGUCGCUACCUGUGACAGGAUGCUAAUCUCCAAAACCUCUCUCAGUUCGGAUUGGAGUCUGCAACCCGACUCCAUGAAGCUGGAUUCGCUAGUAAUCGCGCAUCAGCCAUGGCGCGGUGAAUACGUUCCCGGGUCUUGUACACACC
This 432-nucleotide ribosomal RNA is filed under the name uncultured bacterium. RNAcentral describes it as "bacterial SSU rRNA". It matches the Rfam family "Bacterial small subunit ribosomal RNA", at positions 957 to 1391 of the family's 1533-position model. The record is from RNAcentral.